This 161-nucleotide ribosomal RNA is filed under the name Amanita sp. 'AUS11'. Its description in RNAcentral is "Amanita sp. 'sp-AUS11' 5.8S ribosomal RNA". It matches the Rfam family "5.8S ribosomal RNA". From Rfam's summary of the family: 5.8S ribosomal RNA (5.8S rRNA) is a component of the large subunit of the eukaryotic ribosome. It is transcribed by RNA polymerase I as part of the 45S precursor that also contains 18S and 28S rRNA. Lineage: Eukaryota; Fungi; Basidiomycota; Agaricomycetes; Agaricales; Amanitaceae. The record is from RNAcentral.
ACAACUUUCAACAACGGAUCUCUUGGUUCUCGCAUCGAUGAAGAACGCAGCGAAAUGUGAUAAGUAAUGUGAAUUGCAGAAUUCAGUGAAUCAUCGAAUCUUUGAACGCAUCUUGCGCUCCUUGGUAUUCCGAGGAGCAUGCCUGUUUGAGAGUCAUUAAA